Heterocephalus glaber (naked mole-rat) is the source of this 681-nucleotide non-coding RNA. The record is from RefSeq and is a predicted model, not a curated record. NCBI's taxonomy places the organism in Eukaryota, Metazoa, Chordata, Mammalia, Rodentia, Bathyergidae.
CAGAAUACAAGAAAAAUGGAGUUAAAAUAAUCAAUUCAAAUGUGCUAUUUUCUUAAUUCCCAACAUUUCAUGAGGAUUACUUUGUGUGUUGCCGGUCGACCUGGAUUACACUGAAAGAGGAAGCAGCAGCGCACUGUACAUUGGGCUUUAUCGCUAACAUUUCAUUGGCAGUGAAAGGAUACAUCAGAGAGGUCCAAUCACUUCCUGAAGAUCCCCGCUGGGCCAUGGCUGGCAAGAGGAGAAUUCAGCAGGGUAGCUGGUGACAUCUGAGAGUGGGGAACCAAAACUGGCACCAAAAGAGAUAUCUGCAGCCAGAAAUGAGCAGCAGGUCAACUUUAUUUUUAUCUUAACCAGACAGACUCUACAUGCCAUAAUGAACAGCAACAAGCGAGCUCAUAGCCAUGAACGCAGGCUCAGUUAGGACGGAGAGGUCUUCACUUCUUUUCAUUCCAUGCUGUAUCAAUGUCCAUUGGUAUGAAUGCUUGGCACACAGCAGCUAUCUUAUAAAUCUUUAGUGAAUACAGAAACAAACGAAUGAAGCGUUUUAAAGAAGAGAAACAAAUUAUCCCAGAUUAUUUUGGAAGUUUGAAGUUUGUUCUGCUACAAAAAAGUUAUCUCACUUUCAGAGUAUGUUCAUAACCUUAAUAAACAUUGUAACUAUUAUUACUAUUUGUGGACUUA